Molecule: ribosomal RNA, 495 nt
Filed under: uncultured bacterium
Lineage: Bacteria
Description: partial 16S ribosomal RNA
Rfam family: Bacterial small subunit ribosomal RNA
Source: RNAcentral
AUUGAACGCUGGCGGCAUGCCUUACACAUGCAAGUCGAACGGUAGAGGGGGCAACCCCUCGAGAGUGGCGAACGGGUGAGUAAUGCAUCGGAACGUGCCCAGUAGUGGGGGAUAGCCCGGCGAAAGCCGGAUUACUACCGCAUGAGACCUACGGGUGAAAGGGGGGGAUCGCAAGACCUCUCGCUAUUGGAGCGGCCGAGGUCAGAUUAGGUAGUUGGUGGGGUAAAGGCCUACCAAGCCGACGAUCUGUAGCUGGUCUGAGAGGACGACCAGCCACACUGGACUGAGACACGGCCCAGACUCCUACGGGAGGCAGCAGUGGGGAAUUUUGGACAAUGGGCGAAAGCCUGAUCCAGCCAUGCCGCGUGCGGGAAGAAGGCCUUCGGGUUGUAACCCGCUUUUGUCAGGGAAGAAAUCCUUUGAGCUAAUACCUCGGGGGGAUGACGGUACCUGAAGAAUAAGCACCGGCUAACUACGUGCCAGCCGCCGCCGUAA